This 383-nucleotide ribosomal RNA is filed under the name uncultured bacterium. RNAcentral describes it as "bacterial SSU rRNA". It matches the Rfam family "Bacterial small subunit ribosomal RNA", at positions 28 to 412 of the family's 1533-position model. The record is from RNAcentral.
GACGAACGCUGGCGGCGUGCCUAACACAUGCAAGUCGAGCGAGGUCCAUCCUUCGGGAGAAGACCUAGUGGCGAACGGGUGAGUAACACGUGAAGAACCUGCCCCGAAGACCGGGAUAACCCUCCGAAAGGAGAGCUAAUACCGGAUACCCCCACCGAACCGCAUGGUUUGGUGAGGAAAUGGAUACCGCUUCGGGAGGGCUUCGCGGCCUAUCAGCUAGUUGGUGGGGUAACGGCCCACCAAGGCAUCGACGGGUAGCUGGUCUGAGAGGACGAUCAGCCACACUGGGACUGAGACACGGCCCAGACUCCUACGGGAGGCAGCAGUGGGAAUCUUGCGCAAUGGGCGAAAGCCUGACGCAGCAACGCCGCGUGGGGGAUGAA